Molecule: ribosomal RNA, 981 nt
Filed under: human oral metagenome
Description: bacterial LSU rRNA
Rfam family: Bacterial large subunit ribosomal RNA
Source: RNAcentral
CGGUCCUAAGGUAGCGAAAUUCCUUGUCGGGUAAGUUCCGACCUGCACGAAUGGCAUAAUGAUGGCCAGGCUGUCUCCACCCGAGACUCAGUGAAAUUGAAAUCGCCGUGAAGAUGCGGUGUACCCGCGGCUAGACGGAAAGACCCCGUGAACCUUUACUAUAGCUUGACACUGAACAUUGAAUUUUGAUGUGUAGGAUAGGUGGGAGACUUUGAAGUAGUCACGCCAGUGAUUAUGGAGUCGUCCUUGAAAUACCACCCUUUAACGUUUGAUGUUCUAACGAAGAUUACGAAACGUGGUCUCGGACAGUGUCUGGUGGGUAGUUUGACUGGGGCGGUCUCCUCCCAAAGAGUAACGGAGGAGCACGAAGGUUUGCUAAUCACGGUCGGACAUCGUGAGGUUAGUGCAAUGGUAUAAGCAAGCUUAACUGCGAGACAGACAAGUCGAGCAGGUACGAAAGUAGGUCAUAGUGAUCCGGUGGUUCUGCAUGGAAGGGCCAUCGCUCAACGGAUAAAAGGUACUCCGGGGAUAACAGGCUGAUACCGCCCAAGAGUUCAUAUCGACGGCGGUGUUUGGCACCUCGAUGUCGGCUCAUCACAUCCUGGGGCUGAAGUAGGUCCCAAGGGUAUGGCUGUUCGCCAUUUAAAGUGGUACGCGAGCUGGGUUUAGAACGUCGUGAGACAGUUCGGUCCCUAUCUGCCGUGGGCGUUGGAGAAUUGAUUGGGGCUGCUCCUAGUACGAGAGGACCGGAGUGGACGCAUCACUGGUGUUCCGGUUGUGUCGCCAGACGCAUUGCCGGGUAGCUAAGUGCGGAAGAGAUAAGUGCUGAAAGCAUCUAAGCACGAAACUUGCCAAGAGAUGAGUUCUCCCUGUCUUUAAGACAGUAAGGGUUGUUUAAGACUAAGACGUAGAUAGGUCUGGUGUGUAAGCGGUGCGAGCCGUUGAGCUAACAGAUACUAAUUGCCCGAGAGGCUUAACUAU